UGGGGAAUAUUGCACAAUGGGCGCAAGCCUGAUGCAGCCAUGCCGCGUGUAUGAAGAAGGCCUUCGGGUUGUAAAGUACUUUCAGCGGGGAGGAAGGUGUUGAGGUUAAUAACCUCAGCAAUUGACGUUACCCGCAGAAGAAGCACCGGCUAACUCCGUGCCAGCAGCCGCGGUAAUACGGAGGGUGCAAGCGUUAAUCGGAAUUACUGGGCGUAAAGCGCACGCAGGCGGUCUGUCAAGUCGGAUGUGAAAUCCCCGGGCUCAACCUGGGAACUGCAUUCGGAACUGGCAGGCUAGAGUCUUGUAGAGGGGGGUAGAAUUCCAGGUGUAGCGGUGAAAUGCGUAGAGAUCUGGAGGAAUACCGGUGGCGAAGGCGGCCCCCUGGACAAAGACUGACGCUCAGGUGCGAAAGCGUGGGGAGCAAACA
This 427-nucleotide ribosomal RNA is filed under the name uncultured bacterium. Its description in RNAcentral is "partial 16S ribosomal RNA". It matches the Rfam family "Bacterial small subunit ribosomal RNA", at positions 355 to 774 of the family's 1533-position model. The record is from RNAcentral.